AUUGAACGCUGGCGGCAGGCCUAACACAUGCAAGUCGAGCGGAAACGAAGGGAGCUUGCUCCCAGGCGUCGAGCGGCGGACGGGUGAGUAACACGUGAGAAUCUGCCCAUUAGUGGGGGACAACUCGGGGAAACUCGAGCUAAUACCGCAUAAUCCCUACGGGGGAGAGCAGGGGACCUUUUGGCCUUGCGCGGAUGGAUGAGCUCACGUUGGAUUAGCUUGUUGGUGAGGUAAAGGCCCACCAAGGCGACGAUCCGUAGCUGGUCUGAGAGGGUGAUCAGCCACACUGGGACUGAGACACGGCCCAGGCUCCGACGGGAGGCAGCAGUGGGGGAUCUUGGACAAUGGGGGCAACCCUGAUCCAGCCAUGCCGCGUGUGUGAAGAAGGCCUUCGGGUUGUAAAGCACUUUCGGCAGGGAGGAAGGCUUUGGCCGAAUAGGUUGAAGUACUUGACGUUACCUGCAGAAGAAGCACCGGCUAAUUUCGUGCCAGCCGCCGCCGUAA
RNAcentral lists this ribosomal RNA (504 nucleotides) under uncultured bacterium. RNAcentral describes it as "partial 16S ribosomal RNA". It matches the Rfam family "Bacterial small subunit ribosomal RNA", at positions 29 to 523 of the family's 1533-position model. The record is from RNAcentral.